UACGGAGGGGGCUAGCGUUGUUCGGAAUUACUGGGCGUAAAGCGCACGUAGGCGGCUUUGUAAGUUAGAGGUGAAAGCCCGGGGCUCAACUCCGGAAUUGCCUUUAAGACUGCAUCGCUAGAAUUGUGGAAAGGUAAGUGGAAUUCCGAGUGUAGAGGUGAAAUUCGUAGAUAUUCGGAAGAACACCAGUGGCGAAGGCGGCUCACUGGACCGGCAUUGACGCUGAGGUGCGAAAGCGUGGGGAGCAAACAGG
Molecule: ribosomal RNA, 253 nt
Filed under: uncultured bacterium
Lineage: Bacteria
Description: partial 16S ribosomal RNA
Rfam family: Bacterial small subunit ribosomal RNA
Source: RNAcentral